UACGUAGGUAGCAAGCGUUAUCCGGAUUUACUGGGUGUAAAGGGCGUGUAGGCGGGAGUGCAAGUCAGAUGUGAAAACCACGGGCUCAACCUGUGGCCUGCAUUUGAAACUGUACUUCUUGAGUACUGGAGAGGCAGACGGAAUUCCUAGUGUAGCGGUGAAAUGCGUAGAUAUUAGAAGGAACACCAGUGGCGAAGGCGGUCUGCUGGACAGCAACUGACGCUGAGGCGCGAAAGCGUGGGGAGCAAACAGG
This 253-nucleotide ribosomal RNA is filed under the name uncultured bacterium. Its description in RNAcentral is "partial 16S ribosomal RNA". It matches the Rfam family "Bacterial small subunit ribosomal RNA", at positions 524 to 776 of the family's 1533-position model. The record is from RNAcentral.